CCGAGAGAAGAAGCCACGGCUAACUCUGUGCCAGCAGCCGCGGUAAGACAGAGGUGGCGAGCGUUGUUCGGAUUUACUGGGCGUAAAGAGUUCGUAGGCGGUUAUACAUGUCUGUUGUGAAAUCCCGAGGCUUAACCUCGGAACUGCAUCAGAAACGGUAUGACUAGAGGACAGGAGGGGGGAGUGGAAUUCCAGGUGUAGCGGUGAAAUGCGUAGAUAUCUGGAAGAACACCGGUGGCGAAGGCGGCUCCCUGGACUGUAUCUGACGCUGAGGAACGAAAGCGUGGGUAGCAAACAGGAUUAGAUACCCUGGUAGUCCACGCCCUAAACGAUGGAUGCUAAGUGUUGGAGGUAUCGAUCCCUCCAGUGCCCCACCUAACGGAUUAAGCAUCCCG
Molecule: ribosomal RNA, 395 nt
Filed under: uncultured bacterium
Lineage: Bacteria
Description: bacterial SSU rRNA
Rfam family: Bacterial small subunit ribosomal RNA
Source: RNAcentral